AGUGAACGCUGGCGGUAGGCCUAACACAUGCAAGUCGAACGGCAGCACAGUAAGAGCUUGCUCUUACGGGUGGCGAGUGGCGGACGGGUGAGGAAUACGUCGGAAUCUACUUUUUCGUGGGGGAUAACGUAGGGAAACUUACGCUAAUACCGCAUACGACCUACGGGUGAAAGCAGGGGAUCUUCGGACCUUGCGCGAUUGAAUGAGCCGAUGUCGGAUUAGCUAGUUGGCGGGGUAAAGGCCCACCAAGGCGACGAUCCGUAGCUGGUCUGAGAGGAUGAUCAGCCACACUGAAACUGAGACACGGUCCAGACUCCUACGGGAGGCAGCAGUGGGGAAUAUUGGACAAGGGGCGCACGCCUGAUCCAGCCAUACCGCGUGGGUGAAGAAGGCCUUCGGGUUGUAAAGCCCUUUUGUUGGGAAAGAAAAGCAGCAGGUUAAUACCCCGCUGUUCUGACGGUACCCAAAGAAUAAGCACCGGCUAACUUCG
RNAcentral lists this ribosomal RNA (490 nucleotides) under uncultured bacterium. Its description in RNAcentral is "partial 16S ribosomal RNA". It matches the Rfam family "Bacterial small subunit ribosomal RNA", at positions 29 to 505 of the family's 1533-position model. The record is from RNAcentral.